This 580-nucleotide ribosomal RNA is filed under the name uncultured bacterium. RNAcentral's name for it is "bacterial SSU rRNA". It matches the Rfam family "Bacterial small subunit ribosomal RNA", at positions 9 to 571 of the family's 1533-position model. The record is from RNAcentral.
AAGUUUGAUCAUGGCUCAGAGUCAACGCUGGUAGUAGGCCUAACACAUGCAAGUCGAACGGCAGCACAGGAGAGCUUGCUCUCUGGGUGGCGAGUGGCGGACGGGUGAGGAAUACAUCGGAAUCUACUCUGUCGUGGGGGAUAACGUAGGGAAACUUACGCUAAUACCGCAUACGACCUACGGGUGAAAGCAGGGGACCUUCGGGCCUUGCGCGAUUGAAUGAGCCGAUGUCGGAUUAGCUAGUUGGCGGGGUAAAGGCCCACCAAGGCGACGAUCCGUAGCUGGUCUGAGAGGAUGAUCAGCCACACUGGAACUGAGACACGGUCCAGACUCCUACGGGAGGCAGCAGUUGGGGAAUAUUGGACAAUUGGGCGCAAGCCUGAUCCAGCCAUACCGCGUGGGUGAAGAAGGCCUUCGGGUUGUAAAGCCCUUUUGUUGGGAAAGCAAAUCCAGCUGGCUAAUACCCGGUUGGGAUGACGGUACCCAAAGAAUAAGCACCGGCUAACUUCGUGCCAGCCAGCCGCGGUAAUACGAAGGGUGCAAGCGUUACUCGGGAAAUUACUGGGCGUAAAGGCGUGCG